RNAcentral lists this ribosomal RNA (722 nucleotides) under Isochrysis zhanjiangensis. Its description in RNAcentral is "SSU rRNA". It matches the Rfam family "Eukaryotic small subunit ribosomal RNA", at positions 477 to 1208 of the family's 1831-position model. Lineage: Eukaryota; Haptophyta; Isochrysidales; Isochrysidaceae. The record is from RNAcentral.
AUACAUACAGGCUAUUUUAGUCUUGUAAUUGGAAUGAGUACAAUUUACAUCUCUUCACGAGGAUCAAUUGGAGGGCAAGUCUGGUGCCAGCAGCCGCGGUAAUUCCAGCUCCAAUAGCGUAUAUUAAAGUUGUUGCAGUUAAAACGCUCGUAGUCGGAUUUCGGGGCGGGGCCGCCGGUCUGCCGAUGGGUAUGCACUGGCGGGCGCGUCCUUCCUUCCGGAGACUGGCCCUACUCUUAACUGAGCGGGGUCGGGAAUCGGAUCGUUUACUUUGAAAAAAUCAGAGUGUUUCAAGCAGGCAGCUCGCUCUUGCAUGGAUUAGCAUGGGAUAAUGAAAUAGGACUUUGGUGCUAUUUUGUUGGUUUCGAACACCGAAGUAAUGAUUAACAGGGACAGUCAGGGGCACUCGUAUUCCGCAGAGAGAGGUGAAAUUCUCAGACCCGCGGAAGACGAACCACUGCGAAAGCAUUUGCCAGGGAUGUUUUCACUGAUCAAGAACGAAAGUUAGGGGAUCGAAGACGAUCAGAUACCGUCGUAGUCUUAACCAUAAACCAUGCCGACUAGGGAUCGGCGGAAGUCCUUUUUGACUCCGUCGGCACCUUGAGGGAAACUAUAGUCUUUGGGUUCCGGGGGGAGUAUGGUCGCAAGGCUGAAACUUAAAGGAAUUGACGGAAGGGCACCACCAGGAGUGGAGCCUGCGGCUUAAUUUGACUCACACACGG